AGUGAACGCUGGCGGUAGGCCUAACACAUGCAAGUCGAACGGCAGCACAGUAAGAGCUUGCUCUUACGGGUGGCGAGUGGCGGACGGGUGAGGAAUACAUCGGAAUCUACUUUUUCGUGGGGGUUAACGUAGGGAAACUUACGCUAAUACCGCAUACGACCUACGGGUGAAAGCAGGGGAUCUUCGGACCUUGCGCGAUUGAAUGCGCCGAUGUCGGAUUAGCUAGUUGGCGGGGUAAAGGCCCACCAAGGCGACGAUCCGUAGCUGGUCUGAGAGGAUGAUAAGCCACACUGGAACUGAGACACGGUCCAGACUCCUAAGGGAGGCAGCAGUGGGGAAUAUUGGACAAUGGGGGCAAGCAUGAUCCAGCCAUGCCGCGUGGGUGAAGAAGGCCUUCGGGUUGUAAAGCCCUUUUGUUGGGAAAGAAAAGCAGCAGGUUAAUACCCAGCUGUUCUGACGGUACCCAAAGAAUAAGCACCGGCUAACUUCGUG
RNAcentral lists this ribosomal RNA (492 nucleotides) under uncultured bacterium. Its description in RNAcentral is "partial 16S ribosomal RNA". It matches the Rfam family "Bacterial small subunit ribosomal RNA", at positions 29 to 507 of the family's 1533-position model. The record is from RNAcentral.